Molecule: ribosomal RNA, 409 nt
Filed under: uncultured bacterium
Lineage: Bacteria
Description: bacterial SSU rRNA
Rfam family: Bacterial small subunit ribosomal RNA
Source: RNAcentral
GUGGCAGCCGCCGCGGUAAUACGGAGGGUGCAAGCGUUAUCCGGAUUCAUUGGGUUUAAAGGGUGCGCAGGCGGAUACUUAAGUCAGUGGUGAAAUCCCGGGGCUCAACCCCGGAACUGCCAUUGAUACUGAAUAUCUGGAAUACGGUUGAAGUGGGCGGAAUGUAGCAUGUAGCGGUGAAAUGCAUAGAGAUGCUACAGAACACCGAUCGCGAAGGCAGCUCACUAAGCCGAUAUUGACGCUCAGGCACGAAAGCGUGGGGAGCGAACAGGAUUAGAUACCCUGGUAGUCCACGCCGUAAACGAUGAUAACUCGUUGUUGGCGACACACAGUCAGCGACUAAGCGAAAGCGAUAAGUUAUCCACCUGGGGAGUACGAUCGCAAGGUUGAAACUUAAAGGAAUUGGCGG